CCUACGGGAGGCAGCAGUGAGGAAUAUUGGUCAAUGGCCGGAAGGCUGAACCAGCCAUGCCGCGUGAAGGUCAGUGCCCUAUGGGCGUUAAACUUCUUUUGUGCGGGAGCAAUAAUGGUCACGUGUGGCCAGACGAGAGUACCGUACGAAUAAGCAUCGGCUAACUCCGUGCCAGCAGCCGCUGUAAUACGGGGGAUGCAAGCGUUAUCCGGAUUUAUUGGGUUUAAAGGGUGCGUAGGCUGUGAGGUAAGUCAGCGGUGAAAUGCCCCCGCUCAACGGGGUGAAGUGCCAUUGAUACUGCCUGGCUGGAAUGCGGAUGCCGUGGGAGGAAUGUGUGGUGUAGCGGUGAAAUGCAUAGAUAUCACACAGAACACCGAUUGCGAAGGCAUCUCACGAAUCCGCGAUUGACGCUGAUGCACGAAAGCGUGGGUAUCAAACAGGAUUAGAUACCCGGGUAGUC
RNAcentral lists this ribosomal RNA (460 nucleotides) under uncultured bacterium. RNAcentral describes it as "partial 16S ribosomal RNA". It matches the Rfam family "Bacterial small subunit ribosomal RNA", at positions 338 to 795 of the family's 1533-position model. The record is from RNAcentral.